CGAACGGGUGAGUAACGCGUGAGGAACCUGCCUCAAAGAGGGGGACAACAGUUGGAAACGACUGCUAAUACCGCAUAAGCCCACGGCUCGGCAUCGAGCAGAGGGAAAAGGAGUGAUCCGCUUUGAGAUGGCCUCGCGUCCGAUUAGCUAGUUGGUGAGGUAACGGCCCACCAAGGCAACGAUCGGUAGCCGGACUGAGAGGUUGAACGGCCACAUUGGGACUGAGACACGGCCCAG
RNAcentral lists this ribosomal RNA (237 nucleotides) under uncultured bacterium. RNAcentral describes it as "partial 16S ribosomal RNA". It matches the Rfam family "Bacterial small subunit ribosomal RNA", at positions 99 to 334 of the family's 1533-position model. The record is from RNAcentral.